AUGGCGUUCGGACCCUCCCUCCGACCCCAGAGCCCCAGGCUGGGCCCGGGAAGGCGGGGCUGCCCGGACCUUCGACCGACCGGCAGGGCACGAGAGACAGUUCUCACGCCCCCUUUCUCUUUUGUCCUCUCUCUCGGGUCCUCAGGGAGCCCGUCUGCCCCGACUCUCUUCCCCCUGGUCUCCUGCGUGAGCCCUCUAUCUGAUGAGAACCCGGUGGCCCUGGGCUGCCUGGCCCGGGACUUCCUGCCCAGCUCCAUCAGCUUCUCCUGGAGCUACCAGAAUGACAGCAAGGUCAGCGGCCGGAGCAUCCAGAGCUUCCCAGCCGUCCUGAGGGAGGGCAAGUACGCGGCCUCCUCCCAGGUGCUCCUGCCCCCCUCAAGCGUCCCCCAGGGGUCCGAAGAGCACCUGCUGUGCAGAGUCCAGCACCCCAACGGCGACCAGGAACAGUCCGUGCCAGUGCCUCUCCCAGCAUCGAAGCGGACUCCAGCCCCCACGGUGCCCUCUGCGACAUCCCGGUCAGAGGGCUCCACCCCAGCCCUAACCACUCCGAGGACCCCAGAGUGCCGGAACCACACCCAGCCCCCCAGGGUCUACCUGCUGCGCCCUCCCCUGCAGGGCCUGUGGCUCCAGGGUGAGGCCAACUUCACCUGCCUGGCGGUGGGGGGCGACCUGCAGGCGGCCCGCUUGUCCUGGGAGGUGGCCGGGAAGCCCCAGAGCGGGCACAAGGAGGAGGAGCCCACAGAGCACACCAACGGGUCCUGGAGCCGGAGCAGCCGCCUGGCCCUGUCCAGAGCCUCGUGGGCCGAGGGGACGCCCGUCACCUGCACGCUGAGUGGCCCCGGCCUGCAGUCCCCGGUGACUCUGGCGGCACAGAGAGAACACGAGGCCUUGGCACCCAGCAAGCCUGCCGUCCGCGUCCUGACCGCGCCCGGGCCACUGACCCCUGGCGAGGCGGCCUCCUGGCUCCUGUGCGAGGUGUCCAACUUCUCACCGCUGGGCGUCCUCCUCACCUGGCUGGAGGGCCGGCACGAGGUGGACCCUUCUUGGUCCGCCACGGCGCACCCCGCGGCCCAGCCUGGGAACUCCUCGUUCCACACCUGGAGCGUCCUGCGUGUCCCCGCCUUCCCGGGCCGUGCGGCUGCCACCUACACCUGUGUGGUCAGGCACGAGGCCUCCCGGACGCUGCUCGGCACCAGCUGGAGCCUGGACACUGGACUUUUGCUGAGCGAGCAGUGGCUGGGAGCAGAGCGGGGCAAGAGAUCUCCAGCCUUGGACGAGGCUUAG
Eubalaena glacialis (North Atlantic right whale) is the source of this 1284-nucleotide non-coding RNA. Lineage: Eukaryota; Metazoa; Chordata; Mammalia; Artiodactyla; Balaenidae. The record is from the annotation of a RefSeq genome assembly.